CCAGACUCCUACGGGAGGCAGCAGUGGGGAAUUUUGGACAAUGGGCGCAAGCCUGAUCCAGCCAUGCCGCGUGUCUGAAGAAGGCCUUCGGGUUGUAAAGGACUUUUGUCAGGGAAGAAAAGGGCGGGGUUAAUACCCCUGUCUGAUGACGGUACCUGAAGAAUAAGCACCGGCUAAAUACGUGCCAGCAGCCGCGGUAAUACGUAGGGUGCGAGCGUUAAUUGGAAUUACUGGGCGUAAAGCGGGCGCAGACGGUUAAUUAAGCAGGAUGUGAAAUCCCCGGGCUCAACCUGGGAACUGCGUUUUGAACUGGGUGACUAGAGUGUGUCAGAGGGAGGUAGAAUUCCACGUGUAGCAGUGAAAUGCGUAGAGAUGUGGAGGAAUACCGAUGGCGAAGGCAGCCUCCUGGGAUAACACUGACGUUCAUGCCCGAAAGCGUGGGUAGC
This 446-nucleotide ribosomal RNA is filed under the name uncultured bacterium. Its description in RNAcentral is "bacterial SSU rRNA". It matches the Rfam family "Bacterial small subunit ribosomal RNA", at positions 331 to 769 of the family's 1533-position model. The record is from RNAcentral.